UGGGGAAUAUUGCACAAUGGGGGAAACCCUGAUGCAGCGACGCCGCGUGAACGAAGAAGGUAUUCGUAUCGUAAAGUUCUGUCCUAUGGGAAGAUAAUGACAGUACCAUAGAAGAAAGCUCCGGCUAAAUACGUGCCAGCAGCCGCGGUAAUACGUAUGGAGCGAGCGUUGUCCGGAAUUAUUGGGCGUAAAGGGUACGCAGGCGGUUUAAUAAGUCGAAUGUUAAAGAUCGGGGCUCAACCCCGCAAAGGAUUGGAAACUGAUAAACUUGAGUAGUGGAGAGGAAAGUGGAAUUCCUAGUGUAGUGGUGAAAUACGUAGAUAUUAGGAGGAAUACCAGUAGCGAAGGCGACUUUCUGGACACAAACUGACGCUGAGGUACGAAAGCGUGGGGAGCAAACAGG
Molecule: ribosomal RNA, 403 nt
Filed under: Chloroflexota bacterium
Lineage: Bacteria; Bacillati; Chloroflexota
Description: Chloroflexi bacterium partial 16S ribosomal RNA
Rfam family: Bacterial small subunit ribosomal RNA
Source: RNAcentral